UCAAUUCGGUGCAGGCUUUUUGUAGGUUUUUUUUUCUGUUUUUUAUUUUUUUGGUAUAUUUUGGUAAAUAAAAAAGUUAUAAUAUUUUAGUUAUUUUUUAUUUUUUUUUGUAAUAAUUUUGUAAAAAACCCGACCCCUUGUGUAUUAACUACUUUUAAUGUAUAGAUUUUUUUUGGGUUCACAUUAAAGCUAUGAUUUCUAAAAGAAGGUAAAAAAAUUUGCAAAAAUCUUACGUUUGCCC
This 241-nucleotide long non-coding RNA is filed under the name Gossypium raimondii (Peruvian cotton). RNAcentral describes it as "long non-coding RNA (GRAI_LNC004128)". The record is from RNAcentral. Lineage: Eukaryota; Viridiplantae; Streptophyta; Magnoliopsida; Malvales; Malvaceae.